This 492-nucleotide ribosomal RNA is filed under the name uncultured bacterium. RNAcentral's name for it is "partial 16S ribosomal RNA". It matches the Rfam family "Bacterial small subunit ribosomal RNA", at positions 29 to 507 of the family's 1533-position model. The record is from RNAcentral.
AGUGAACGCUGGCGGUAGGCCUAACACAUGCAAGUCGAACGGCAGCACAGUAAGAGCUUGCUCUUACGGGUGGCGAGUGGCGGACGGGUGAGGAAUACAUCGGAAUCUACUUUUUCGUGGGGGAUAACGUAGGGAAACUUACGCUAAUACCGCAUACGACCUACGGGUGAAAGCAGGGGAUCUUCGGACCUUGCGCGAUUGAAUGAGCCGAUGUAGGAUUAGCUAGUUGGCGGGGUAAAGGCCCACCAAGGCGACGAUCCGUAGCUGGUCUGAGAGGAUGAUCAGCCACACUGGAACUGAGAAACGGUCCAGACUCCUACGGGAGGCAGCAGUGGGGAAUAUUGGACAAUGGGCGCAAGCCUGAUCCAGCCAUACCGCGUGGGUGAAGAAGGCCUUCUGGUUGUAAAGCCCUUUUGUUGGGAAAGAAAAGCAGCAGGUUAAUACCCCGCUGUUCUGACGGUACCCAAAGAAUAAGCACCGGCUAACUUCGUG